RNAcentral lists this long non-coding RNA (228 nucleotides) under Panicum hallii. Its description in RNAcentral is "long non-coding RNA (PHAL_LNC000353)". The record is from RNAcentral. Lineage: Eukaryota; Viridiplantae; Streptophyta; Magnoliopsida; Poales; Poaceae.
CGUGACUGGUCCAAUACACCAAUGAAUUGUGUAGACACAAGCAAGUUUUUGAAUUAUGACUAGUAGAUGCAUUACCAUAUGCCACAAUGGAUCGAGGAACAAGAACGAUCCGAGGAUUAAACAAAUAAAGGAGCCCCGGUGCUGGUUUGUGGAGGAACGAUGUGAGGAUGUAACCUGCUUGUAAGCCGGAGCAUCCACCAUGGUGAACUAUUUAUCUCCUUCCUCCCC